RNAcentral lists this transfer RNA (64 nucleotides) under Heteropsylla cubana. RNAcentral describes it as "tRNA-Met". The record is from RNAcentral. Lineage: Eukaryota; Metazoa; Arthropoda; Insecta; Hemiptera; Psyllidae.
AAGAAAAAUAAGCUAAUUUAAGCUAUUGGACUCAUAAUUCAAAUAUAGAUUUAAUCUUUUUUCU